This 4318-nucleotide long non-coding RNA is filed under the name Homo sapiens (human). RNAcentral's name for it is "HSALNT0008235". The record is from RNAcentral. Lineage: Eukaryota; Metazoa; Chordata; Mammalia; Primates; Hominidae.
CCACCCUGGAUAUGGCUCUGUCCCUCUGCCACACCCCAGGCCCUGUGAGGAGUCCCCAAGAGGAGCCCACUGUACCGUGGGGUUAAUAACCUCUGCUGCCUGCCUGGGUAUCUGGGCCUGGCCACCAGCCGUGUUCUUCAUGUGUUGAUUUUAUUUGACCCCUGGAGUGGUGGGUCUCAUCCUUCUCAUCUUGGCAGAGAGCGGCAGAGGGCUGCCUCACUGCAAACCCUCCCUUCAGUGUCAGUGAUGAAGGAAAGCAGUGCCUGCUUGUGUGCUUUACAUGCACUGAAGUGUUUUAGAAAAAUCAGCUCUCCAUUCAUUUCCCCACAUGAGAAUCUCAAUUGUUGAGCGAUGCUGCAUUCAAUAACAUCUAUUUGUGACUAUUCAGUGUGUGUAUACAGGUGUUUAAAAGAUGUAAUUAUUCUAGGCUCCUUUCAUAUAUAUCAGUUUAAUAUACCUUUUUACAGUGCUCUCAGUUGCCCCCAAGGGUAAACAUGGAAUUGGACGAUGGAGAGACUUUGAGAUGGCAAUCAUCUUGGAAGAGGGGGUUUAAGGGAUGACAUAUGGUUUAGGGAUGGCUUAGGGAUGUGUCUUGAAGCUGUUUUACUUAGUUUAUGUUUAUUAGGGGUGGUCUGAAGGGAGACGAUAGAACUGAAUGAGGAGCUGGCUAACCCCACCCCCACCUCCUUAGCACCAAUCUUCUGGGUGUUCUAUGUGAUGGCAUAUACAUUAAUAAUUAAAUGGAAUAUUUUGUUCUCUGUCUACCAUACUAGAAAAUAUGUAUCCCUUAGUAAAAGUUGUUUAAAACACAUUGAAUAAUAACAAUCUUACCACUCUUUGAGCACCUACUAUGUGCCCAGAUACCUCUCAUAUACUCACAUAUAUUCUCAUUAAAUGCUCAUACAAAUUCGGAGAGAUAAAUAUUAUAGACAAAAAUGAUAAAAUUAGAUAGAUAUUGUGUUUUUAGAGGACUUUAUGUCAGGUGCUCUUCUAUUCAGAUUACAUGAAUUAUCUUGUCUAAAUCUCAUAACAAUUCUGUAAAACAGAUACUUUUUCAGGUGAAGAAACAGCAGUUCAGUAACUUGUCUGAGUUCACAUGGUUACCAAGGUACGAAGGGGAUAUUUAAGCCAGACAAUCUGACAUCAGAACUCUUGGUGUUCAGAAUGGUGUAAAUGCUAUAUUUACACCAUUUGAUGCAUAAGAAAAUAGAGAUUGCCUUACUUGCUCAAUCAGCUAGCUCACCUUCCAGUGCAGCUGAAAAAUACAUGCUGUAUGCUUGCAUUCUCUUUGUCCAAGUCCCAGGAAGGAGGAGGAACUACAGAUUACAGUGCUGUACGCUACGUGUCAGGGAUUUAUAGGAGAUUUUCAAGGUAGCUUUUCUGGUACAUUCUGGAAUGGUCCUGAGAAGUUAUAAUUUUUAGGUUCUCCCCCAGACAAUUGUGAUAAUAACCUGGUUUGACAACUAUUGCCCCAGCACAGGGAUGGCUAAUAAGUUUUAUUUCUAGUGCCAUUUCUGAGUGGUAGGUUGUUCAGGCAACUAUGUUGAAAAUUUUAAGGCUAAGUCUGAGUUCAGUUGGGAAGAGCACCAAUUAGUGAUGUCUGCCAUGAAUUUGAGGAAAGAGAAGGACAUGGGUGCCCUGGUGUCAGGUUCUAACUGAGGUCUGAGGGGAGUCAGUGGGUGAGUGGUAGGUAGCUGGAAAAACACUAGAGGAAUUGUAGACAGUUUUGACAUGGCUUUACUCUCUCUCUGGGCACAAGCGAGCCAUAUAUACAGCGUUAGCAGGGUAAUUGUAUGUUUUACAGACAAUAGUCCCUCCAAGCCAAGCACAAGCUCACAUGGGUGAUCACCUAAUAUGCCUCAUGCGGUGUGGUUACAUAAUGUGCAGGGUUGUACGCCUGCGCUCCAAACCCACUGAGUCAUGCUGCGCUAGAAGGCCGCCUUGGCCUACUUCUGAGUAAAGCACAGCCACUUCCCUUACACUCCACCAGCUAGGCUCAGGGCAUCCUCUGGGCAGGGACACAUGCCCAUAGGGCGGAGCCCUGAAUCCAUAGCUCAAACAACAAUACAGAGAGCAAUAGCUCACUACUAGGAUCCCAGUUAUGCUACUUAUGACUGUUAGGGCCCAGCAUAGGCCAGAGCCCAGGAAUACCCACCAUAACUUCAGUGGAGUGACAUGUAUUAUGUUUACACAGGCCAUGACAGGUACCCAUCCCGCAGUGGUGUUACCCCAGUGUUGCUGUAUGCACCGCGGUGCCUGGGCUAGGGGUACUACAUGUUCCCCCACUAGCCAGCCCCACCCAUCAUAAACACUACAGGCCAGCCAGGGGUGUGUGUGCCAUGGGUCUUGCAGUGUCUUUUGUCCAAAGCUUGCUGCAUUGCGUUCCAGGUGUCAGCCAUGGGACCCCAAGUCUCCAGCCAUGUCCAGUUCUCUGCAGACACUGAAUGCAUGUGCCAAGGCAAGCUGUCCACAACUGCUGCUGGAAGAGUGGUGCAGAGCCAACAGUUGGAAAUAUUGGUCACCUCAGCCUACGUGUGGGCCCAGUUCAUGAUGCAGUUGGAGCAUGUUAACCUGUGGUUGAAAUGACAGAGCAGGCAUAGGUACUAACAGAGGUAAAUCACGUCUCUCAAGCAAAAUACAGGCUAACCUUUCAUCCCUGGAUAACAAUGCAGCCAACAAGGGAUUUUGCCCUGGAUGAUGGUACCACACCUUCUCAGCUCCCCAUGGUUCUUUUGAGUCCUGUAUCUGUGCCAAAGUCACAGGGGAACUCAUAAUAGGUCACACAAGCAAUACAUAUAUUCCCUGGAGGAGGGUGCCUUCCCUGGCCAUUCCCCUACAAACAGUCAACUGCAGGGGCCAUGUAUUGAAUACCCAAGGAGUGACAUGCAAGUCAUAGUGUAUGCCCUACCCCCAGGGAGCUACGAUGGCCAACCACUGGCAGUGGGGGGCUUGGAGGGUCCAUGGCCACAGCCAGGUUUUCUGUUCCCCUGCCUUCAAGGGUGUUGGGGCUAGUAACAACAGGUUACUGUUCAUCCCCAUACCUGGUUGGAGGAGGUCACCCUUGGUAUGUAUCUGCAACCGGAUGGGGAUGGUGGCCCAGUGUAACAAAGCCACCAUCAGAACUGGGCCAACUUUCUGUGGCUGUUAAUUCAAGGAUUGAAGUACCAGGUCCAGCCUGGAACUCCAGCCCCACAAAGACAGGGGUGUGACAUGCAAGCAUAACCCAUUCUUUAAGAGCCUCUUAUACCACUCAAUUAUAUGUGCAGCUUGCGGGUUAUAUAGUACAUGGAAUCCCCACUUUAUGUCCACUUGUUAUGCCCAUUUUUGUGCCUGUUAUCCAGUGAUAUGUGUUCUCUUAUCACUCUCGACAGCCAGAGGGUGAUCAUACAGGGCAUAUAAGUGUUGCAGGGCCUGGAUGGUGUUCUGUUGGUUGGCCACUCUGCAAGCAUAGGUGAACAACAGGCUCAUGACUGUGUCCACAGCUGUUAACACAUGCAUAUACCCUUGCAACUUCAGCAGCAGCCUAAUGUAAUCUACUUGCCACUUGGUUAAGGGCACUCACCCUAUUGUCGUUUGUUGUGUAAUAUUGGGCCCCUGCCUCCAUUUAGGGUGUGCCUGAGCAUAUGCCAGGCAUUUCUGACAAGCCUCUCAAAUGCCUUGCUUGGGCAGGAAUAGACCCCAAUGCUUAUUGACCCGUUGCAUCAGUUCACCCCCCGGCUUGUCCCAGUUUCCAGUGUAGCCACAAGGCCACAUCUCAUGUUGGUGCUGACUAACCAUCGGAUCUUAACCAAGGUAUCUGCCUCAUCAUUGCCGGGGGUAGUGAAAGGCAUAUGGCCUGAGACAUGAUAAAGAGUUACCUCUUUCUGAUGACCCAUUUCCCAAAGGUCUUGCCACAUGACUUGGCCCCAAAUGGGUCAGUGGCUGACUAACCCCUUUUGUAUUUUCCAGGUAGUUAACCAUAAGGUUAAGCCUUGAUAGACUGCCCAGCUACCGAUACAGAUAACUAUAGGUGUCACCUCCUUGGUGAUCACCAUCCAUACUACUCUAAGUUCAGCCCAUUGGCUACUUUGUCCAUACCUGGUUUCAAACCAUACGGUGUCAGUACUAGGUUGGACUGCAACAGAAGUCCAGGCAGCAGUAGCACCUCGGCUAGACCCAUCUGUGUACCAUGUCCCAUCGGGAAUAGGGGGACACCCUUAAACAGUGAAAGCUCAGGGUUUAGGGGCACCUCAGGCCCCAUGGCCUUAUCUUACAUUAGGACUACAGGUUCAGGUUUUAAGACCUCUUGCAACUCUGCUGCUAAGGGACUUGUACUCAG